GUUUCUGUAGGUGUGCGUUAUCACGUUCGCCUAACACGCGAAAGGCUCCGGGUUCAAAACCGGUCAGAAACA
Merluccius polli (Benguela hake) is the source of this 72-nucleotide non-coding RNA. The record is from the annotation of a GenBank genome assembly. Lineage: Eukaryota; Metazoa; Chordata; Actinopteri; Gadiformes; Merlucciidae.